RNAcentral lists this ribosomal RNA (1747 nucleotides) under Opercularia sp. 2. RNAcentral describes it as "SSU rRNA". It matches the Rfam family "Eukaryotic small subunit ribosomal RNA". The record is from RNAcentral. Lineage: Eukaryota; Ciliophora; Oligohymenophorea; Sessilida; Operculariidae.
AACCUGGUUGAUCCCUGCCAGUAGUCAUAUGCUUGUCUCAAAGAUUAAGCCAUGCAUGUGUAAGUAUAAGUAUUGUACAGCGAGACUGCGAAUGGCUCAUUAAACCAGUUAUAGUUUAUUUGAUACUUGAAAGUUACAUGGAUAACCGUGGCAAUUCUACAGCUAAUACAUGCUUCAAAACCCGACUCUUCGGAAGGGUUGUAUUUAUUAGAUAUUAAGCCAUCCCUUCGGGGCUGUGAUGAAUCAUAAUAACUGAUCGAAUCGAGGCUUGCCUUGAUAAAUCAUUCAAGUUUCUGCCCUAUCAGCUUUAGAUGGUAGUGUAUUGGACUACCAUGGCUAUCACGGGUAACGGAGAAUUAGGGUUCGAUUCCGGAGAGGGAGCCUGAGAAACGGCUACCACAUCCAAGGAUGGCAGCAGGCGCGAAAAUUGCCCAAUCCCGAUUCGGGGAGGCAGUGACAAGAAAUAACAACCCAGGACUAGUUCCAGGGAUUGCAAUGAGAACAACUUAAAAACCUUAUCGAGCAACAACUGGAGGGCAAGUUCUGGUGCCAGCAGCCGCGGUAAUUCCAGCUCCAGUAGCGUAUAUUAAAGUUGCUGCAGUUAAAAAGCUCGUAGUUGAAUUUCUGCUUGUUAGAGUCAAGUCCUUACGGACGAGAUUUCUUCGAGCAUCUGUUUGCAAUCAUAUGUUCGGUCUUCAUUGAUUGACUAUGCGAGCAAACGUUUUACCUUGAGAAAAUUAGAGUGUUCUAGGCAGGCUUCAGCCGGAAUACAUUAGCAUGGAAUAAUGGAAUAGGACUGGGGACUAUUUUUGGUUUAAGGCUCCAGUAAUGAUUAAUAGGAACAGUCGGGGGCAUUAGUACUUGACAGUCAGAGGUGAAAUUCUUGGAUUUGUCAAAGACUAACUAAUGCGAAAGCAUUUGCCAAGCAUGUUUUCAUUAAUCAAGAACGAAAGUUAGGGGAUCAAAGACGAUUAGAUACCGUCCUAGUCUUAACUGUAAACGAUUCCAUCUUGGAAUUGGGUGGAUAUAUUAUGAUUCAUCCAGCGCCAUAAGAGAAAUCAAAGUCUUUGGGUUCUUGGUGGAGUACGAUCGCAAGAUUGAAACUUAAAGGAAUUGACGGUUUUGCACACCAUGGAGUGGAGCCUGUGGCUUAAUUUGACUCAACACUGGGAAACUCAUCAGGACAAAAAAGUUUUAGGAUUGACAGAUUGAUAGCUCUUUCUUGAUUGACUUAAUGGUGGUGCAUGGCCGUUCUUAGUUGGUGGAGUGAUUUGUCUGGUUAAUUCCGUUAACGAACGAGACCUCAACCUACUAACUAGUACGACGUGAACAACGUUAGUUACUUCUUAGAGGGACAAUGUGUGUUAACACAAGGAAGUUUGAGGCAAUAACAGGUCUGUGAUGCCCUUAGAUGUCCUGAGCCGCACACGCGCUACAAUGACACUUUCAAUAAGCAUCUGCUGGCCCGAAAGGGUUCAGGCUAAUCUUUUUAGUAAGUGUCGUGCUAGGGAUAGAUCUUUGCAAUUAUGGAUCUUGAACGAGGAAUUCCUAGUAAGCACAAGUCAUCAGCUUGUGCUGAUUACGUCCCUGCAAAAUGUACACAUCGCCCGUCGCUUGCUCCGAUUGAAUAAUCUGGUGAGCCUUCUUGACUGAGUGGGCAACCACGAAGGAUAUUAAGCAAACCAUAUUAUUUAGAGGAUGAAGAAGUCGUAACAAAGUUUCCGUAGGUGAACCUGCAGAAGGAUCA